This 229-nucleotide ribosomal RNA is filed under the name uncultured bacterium. Its description in RNAcentral is "partial 16S ribosomal RNA". It matches the Rfam family "Bacterial small subunit ribosomal RNA", at positions 568 to 796 of the family's 1533-position model. The record is from RNAcentral.
UCCGUAGGCGGGCUAAUAAGUCAGGGGUGAAAUCCCACAGCUUAACUGUGGAACUGCCUUUGAUACUGUUAGUCUUGAGUUAUAUGGAAGUAGAUAGAAUGUGUAGUGUAGCGGUGAAAUGCAUAGAUAUUACACAGAAUACCGAUUGCGAAGGCAGUCUACUACGUAUAUACUGACGCUAAUGGACGAAAGCGUGGAGAGCGAACAGGAUUAGAUACCCUGGUAGUCC